RNAcentral lists this long non-coding RNA (255 nucleotides) under Gallus gallus (chicken). The record is from RNAcentral. Lineage: Eukaryota; Metazoa; Chordata; Aves; Galliformes; Phasianidae.
CACGGGGACCCGAGGCAGCUGCCCGGCCUCUGCUGGAGCUGGGACGGGCACCCCUGGGUGCCAGACCUGCACAGGCCCGGCCUUCCCGAGCUCCAGCCGACGGCCCAGAUGGCUGGGGGCUGCUGGGAUCCCAGCUCCCCCCUGCCUCAGGUCUGGGCUGUGCUGCUACUCACGGCGCAGUGCGCUUUUGGGCCCUCCGUUGUGCCUUCUGGAGGUUUUUCAUCUCCAUUUCCACCUCCUCCUUCAGUGCCUGGG